GUCUGAGGAGGAGACGGCGGCAGCGGCCGAUAAUGGAUGCUGAAUGAUACUGCAGUUGCAGCGCUCUCGUUGGCUAGGAGUUUGUAGCUUAAUAAAACCACAGCUACAGCUUCCAUUGGUUUAUCAUCAGGUCUAAAUGGCUGGUGUGGGUACAGAGUGAGACUGUCCAUGUUCCUCAAGGAAACUGUUCGGAAUUACAUUAGUUUCGUUCUGUUCAGUGUUGGCAUGAAAAACAAUUCUGAUUGAAAGACCUUUCCUGGUGUGCAUAAUCGGGAAAGUUUAAACUGUGCACAAAGCUGUACAAAACCGAAAAAAAAAGUAUUGGAAUUCUGUGACAGAGGCAGAACAUCAUCCUCGGAUCAAGAGACUUGAAACUGCAUACCAUACUGCAGGCGUGGUCUAAGUAAGGCACUGUGCAGUUGCAAUAAGAUAUUCCUACUCCUGAAAUUCAUCUCGUUGUAAAGUAUCUAACUGUUGAUGUACAGUCAAGGCUAAUGGGUGAUCUGAUGGGGAUGUUCAAGGUUACAAAAGUUCAAUAAGGCAACCAUCGAGAAGCCGUUCCCAUUUGUAGGACUGACCUGAAUUGGGGGGCC
Molecule: long non-coding RNA, 593 nt
Organism: Rhincodon typus (whale shark)
Lineage: Eukaryota; Metazoa; Chordata; Chondrichthyes; Orectolobiformes; Rhincodontidae
Exons: 4
Source: RefSeq, a predicted model, not a curated record